CAAAUAUCGAAGCAUGUCCUUUUUCUGCAAGCGAAGUCGAUUGUUCCGGACAUCCCUGUAGAGAUCAGAACUUAAAUCUUUUAAUAAACCGGAAAAUCAAUAAAAAACACUUGCGGAUCCCAAUCAGUUAAUCCAUUUCCGGCUAGAAAUCUAGAGCGAUUAAUCAAGGUACUAGUACGAGGACGCUCACAGAAGCUGGAGAUUGGGAACGUUCUGGAACAGCCCAGGCUCCAGGGCAGAAAUGACAAUCUGGCCAAUCAUCACACCUGAAAUCC
Paramacrobiotus metropolitanus is the source of this 275-nucleotide long non-coding RNA. RefSeq lists it as uncharacterized. NCBI's taxonomy places the organism in Eukaryota, Metazoa, Tardigrada, Eutardigrada, Parachela, Macrobiotidae. The record is from RefSeq and is a predicted model, not a curated record. The transcript has 4 exons.